GAUAGCAUGCCAGUAAUUGUUAGUGAUCCACGCACAUUGAAGUAUUUUAAAUAUCACACCAACAAUAAAUUAAAAUAUAUAAACCUUUAAGCAGUACAAAAUAUAACAUAAUUUACCUCAGACACAGGUACUUGUUCCUUAGUGGGAGCUUGAUUUUUUAAUCUUGAAAACAAAAUAAAUAUUGAGUAUUUUAUUUUAUGUUUACAAUGGAAAAAUAUGAAAGUAAUUCUAUGCAUGCUUAAAAUAAUUUAAAUGCACAUCUAAAUUAAUGUGUACAUCCACUAUAAUAGUAAAUGACAUAAAUGUUUUAAGGGAAAAAUAAAUGCAUGAGAAUAGGUAUCCAAUAUAUAUUCUAAAUAAAUAAAUACAGACAUGCAUUUCUUCUCUAAAAACAAGAACACUUAAGAAAUGUUUUCUAUUGUAUUAAGUACAAUUAAAAAAAAUUUUAGUAGAACAGUUCCCAAAAAAGAAUUACCCUUUAAAAAAAUAAAAGCAGCUAUGCUUAAUAUUUAUAAUAUGCAUCAGUAUUUACUACUAUAGGAUUCAAAAAGUGACAGGAAAUAUCUAUUGUAAAAAUUCAAAAUAGUAACGUAAUUUCAAUAUAUAUUACAAUUAACUUACUCUAGAAUUUUGAAGAAUGUAUUCUCUUAAAAACCUUUAUAAGCAUAGCCCAAACAGUAACUAUAAUUUUUAAAGUCUGAUUUCUAAAAAAUACUAAUUAUACUUCUGACAACAUUAACAAAGGCAUUUGUUAAUCUGUAAAAUCUUUUAAAAUAUAUCAAUUUAACAUAAAAGCUAGCUUUCCAAAGGAUCUUUGUCUUAGAAGAUGCUGAUGCUAAAUAUUAUUUGUUGAUAUUGCAUAUUAAACUAUUUUAAUUUGCAUAAGUAGAGCAUCUGCCUGAUCCUAAAUGUCAUUAACAGUUAAGUGAUUCAAAACUUAGUGAAGGAGUUCCCGUCAUGGCUCAGUGGUUAACAAAUCCAACUAGGAAUCAUGAGGUUUCAGGUUCGAUCCCUGGCCUCGCUCAGUGGGUUGCCGUGAGCUGUGGUGCAGGUCGCAGACUCGGCUCAGAUCUGGCCUUACUGUGUGGCUCUGGUGUAGGUCGGCAGCUACAGCUCCGAUUAGACCUCUAGCCUGGGAACCUCCAUAUGCUGCACAUGCAGCCCUAGAAAAGACAAAAAGACAAAACAAAAGAAAAAAAAUUAAUGAAGACUUAAUGACUAUACUUAAGGAUUAAUAUAUUUAACAUAAGCAACAACUAUACUGACUUAAAUUUCAUGGACAGGAGCUCCUGUCAUGGCUCAGCGGAAAUGAAUCUGACUAGUAUCCAUGAGUAUACAGGUUCAAUCCCUGGCCCUGCACAGUGAGUUAAGGAUCCAGUAUUGUUAGAGCUGCAGUGUAGGUCACUGCAGAUGUGGUUCUGAUCUGGUGUUACUGUGGCCGCGGCCAUAACAUAGGCCAGUGGCUACAGCUCUGAUUCAACCCCUAGCCUGGCAACCUCCAUAUGCCAUUGGUACGGCUCUAAAAAGACAGAAAUUAAUUAAUGUAAUUAAUUUCUAAAAAUAAAUUUCAUGGACAAAAAUAAAGAUAUCUAGUACAAUAUCAAUCAUUCUAAAAGCUAAUCUCAUGGUUACUCAAUGAAAUAUGGAGUUGGCAACACCCCUCUUUAUCUGUUCUCUGAGGAUACAUUAAAAUAUUAAGUUUAUAAAUGCUGUUUUCUUAAAUCUUAGUGAUAACUGUAUAAAAUUACUUAUGUACAUUUUAGUAAUUACAUGUAAUUAUAACAAUCUAAAAUAAAACCUGUCCUUUUUUGAAGAGGUACUAUAUUGAUAGUGUUUAAAAUAAUUGUCAACUAAUUUUACUAAAUAAAUCUAAAUGAAUAAAACCCGCACAAAAAAUGGACAAAAUGCACACGUCUUUCAUUGUGGGGGUUACAUAUUUUGUAAUUCUCUCAGACAAGUAAUUGUGAAAAAUGUUCAAAAAGAUGAAAUAACAUCAAGUGUACAGUACAACUUCACUGCUUUAAUAACGUAUGUAAGAAAAUAAUAGUUGUAAGAAUAACAUCUACAAAAUUGUAAGAAACAUGAAAAAUCAGUGGGAAGAAAAAGAAGCGAUAUUGGAUUAAUGAAGUUUUGAAAUAACUGAAUGUUAAAACUGAUUUCUAUUUCUAAGCAUUUAAAAAUUUUAAACUCAGUUUGAAAAACUGAAACAAACUGGUUGCAAGGCAGUUUAAAAAUAUUUCAUAAAAGCAUUUUCCUUUUCAGCUUUCUAUUGAAAAUGUUAUCAAAGACUAACCUUAAAUUCUUACAAAAGAAACAUUACUAUGAUAAUCAUUUUUGCAUACGGCUAUUUUAAUAAAUUGAUUUUUUGCAGCAAUUAAAGUGAAAGCUAUUAAGCAUGUUUUACUACUAUCGCUGGCAUUUCAAUUGGGGAAACUGAAUUUUUAAAAUAUCUCUUUAAGGGAGGUUGGUGACAGGUUUUUAUAACUCUUCAUUUUACUGGCUAAGAAACUGACACACAAGAACAAAAUAAGUUACUGAAAUAACUAGCAAUAAGAGGCUUAUGUUUCCAAUCUUUUUCUGUGGCUUUAACCAUACUAGUAUUCUGUUUAAGGGACAGAAUUAUAAUAACCAGUGAAAACAUUUAGAAAAACAAAUCUAAAAAAAAUUAGAAAAGCAUGUGACACAAAGUUUCAUUAAGUUAUAAAUUUGUCAUUAAAAUGUACACUAUGUUUUUGUAACUAGAAAAGCAUACUUUAAAAAACUUUAAUACAACUACUAAUACAUCACUACACUUUUGAAAAGAAAAAUAUUCUUACCUUUAAUCUUAUUCAUUAAAGAUACUUGCUGAAAUAGUCAUCAUUUCAGAUAUUCAAUUGCUUGGUAGAAGACAGUGAAAUUUGCUAAGCUCAAAGUUCUGAGCUAAUGACCUGCCAUUAGGUAAUUACACUUUUCACCUGUGAAUGUUGCAAUAUUUUUUAAUAAAAAAAUUGUAUAGCAUUUAAAACAAACACUAUUUAAGAUUUCAGUGUAAAGAGAACAGAAGGACUGGUUAUGAAUUUCAAAAACAAUCACUAGAAAUUAAGAUUGUUAAAUAAUUAAUUUUUCUUCUGUAUGUAAACCUGCUUUCCCCUCUAAGUUUCAAAAUGAAAUAAAUGUCCCUACUCGUAUUUUUCUACAGCACACAUGACCAGACCAAAGCUACAUGUGAAAUGAUUAUUUUGGUUAAAUUACAUUAUUGUGUUCUUUUGGUGUUUCAUUUAUACUACAAACAUACCAUGAGAUAGAGGGAAGAGCCUUAAGGGGAAAAAUGUUAAGAUUCAUUUCAGUCAGACCGCAUUCUUUCCUUCUAAUAACAUUUAAAAGCCAAAAGUUUCAAUGCUAAUUUUCAAAAUGUAAUCUUUAAGAAUGUUUGUAAGUAAACUCCAAAAGCUGAAAAGAGGUUUAGAACAAGUCAGUAGUCAAGUCAACCAGUUCUCAAGAACUUCUACUUAUACAUUCAAGAUUAAAUCUGGAAUAGCAAUCAUCAGACUAGUAAGAGUAAAACAUCUAGUGCACAAUUUCUGAUUUAUUGUUCUGAAAUAUGUUAAGAGAUAUGCAGAAAGGAUGAUUGAUCUAAACAAUUGCCAGGUUUCAUCUACAUCAUGUACUAUGCUAAGAGUUUCAGUCCAAAGCUAAGACACACCUCUUCCUGUUAAGGAGUUCACUGUGAAGGAAAUAUACUGAAGCAAAUGUUUACAGAAUUGUCAAGUGUUAGAAAAGAGACAUCUAUAUUGUGGCUAUACAAAGGAUCAGGAUUCUACAAAGGGGAAAGAUGCAAGGAAGCAGGGAGACUAUUACUGUGAAUAUGGUUUUACAGCAAAAGCAGGAGUUAAUAGGGAAAGGAGAUUCAAAGCAGAACAAAAGCAAAUGUAAUACAUGACAGCAAUUAUAUGAUACUGAAUGGUCUCACAUGACUAGAAUGUAAAGAACAAGGGAGAGUAGUCAAAGAUGCAGCUGAAGAGAUAGCAAAGGAUACUUCAGGAAAGGUCUUGAUUGUCACACUAAAAUGUUGGUACCAAGAACUUUUAUUCUAAGGUUAAUAGAAAGUAUCAGAUUUGUGCAUCAGAAAGAGAAAAGGCAGUAUCAGAAGAGGAUAAGUUCCAGUCAGGGAGUAUAGACAGGAGACAAUUAAUGACUGUGACAAGUAAACCAGCAGGAGUGUCAAUGAAGAGGAGGAAGGUUUUUUUGGGGGGAGAGGUGAUAAAGGAAAGCCAACAAAAUAUAAGUAUUGAUUGGAUAAAGGUACACAAGGAGAGCAAAUAUGGCCUCCUUCAUGUCUGCCUUGAGUGGCAAGAGAAUGGUAACACCAUUAAC
Molecule: non-coding RNA, 4353 nt
Organism: Sus scrofa (pig)
Lineage: Eukaryota; Metazoa; Chordata; Mammalia; Artiodactyla; Suidae
Source: RefSeq, a predicted model, not a curated record